RNAcentral lists this ribosomal RNA (292 nucleotides) under uncultured bacterium. RNAcentral's name for it is "partial 16S ribosomal RNA". It matches the Rfam family "Bacterial small subunit ribosomal RNA", at positions 505 to 796 of the family's 1533-position model. The record is from RNAcentral.
GUGUCAGCAGCCGCGGUAAUACGUAGGUGGCAAGCGUUAUCCGGAAUUAUUGGGCGUAAAGCGCGCGCAGGUGGUUCCUUAAGUCUGAUGUGAAAGCCCCCGGCUCAACCGGGGAGGGUCAUUGGAAACUGGGGAACUUGAGUGUAGAAGAGGAAAGUGGAAUUCCACGUGUAGCGGUGAAAUGCGUAGAGAUGUGGAGGAACACCAGUGGCGAAGGCGACUUUCUGGUCUAUAACUGACACUGAGGCGCGAAAGCGUGGGGAGCAAACAGGAUUAGAUACCCUGGUAGUCC